UAGCUCUGUUCAUAGUCUAGACCAUCGGAACAGGUUUAUAAUUUGUGCUUUGUGCUGGUUUUUCAUGAUAGUGUGGGCAAAUCAGCUCAUAGGGAGUUACACUAACUUUGUGUUUGCAUGUAUUUGUAUUUUUAUUUCCCUUGACCUUAGCAAGUUUAAGGAUUCAAUUUAAGAGAAAAACUCCCUAAGUGAAGGUAACAUACUGUGAAUGAUUCAAUUUAGGCUUAAAGGGGUGGCAAACCAAUGGGGUC
Molecule: long non-coding RNA, 251 nt
Filed under: Manihot esculenta (cassava)
Lineage: Eukaryota; Viridiplantae; Streptophyta; Magnoliopsida; Malpighiales; Euphorbiaceae
Description: long non-coding RNA (MESC_LNC012731)
Source: RNAcentral